Molecule: long non-coding RNA, 729 nt
Filed under: Salvia miltiorrhiza (redroot sage)
Lineage: Eukaryota; Viridiplantae; Streptophyta; Magnoliopsida; Lamiales; Lamiaceae
Description: long non-coding RNA (SMIL_LNC005190)
Source: RNAcentral
GGGUUUAUCAGAUUCGGUAGAAUCUACAAAUAUGAAAUUCAAUAUUUGAAUGAAGUUAAUACAAUUUCUUCUGCUCCUGUAUUUGGGCCUUUUGCCAACCAAAAUCAGUCAUCUUUUCAGCUUCCAAUGGCGGCGUUCACACCGGACGGUCGAAAAUCAAACGGGGAGGAAAUUAAGGCUUUAGAAAAGAGGGAUUGUUGCAGGCUCCUGAUUCGAGACCGGAGACGCUCCGCCACUCUACCAGAUUCAUGAUUCGACAAGAUCUGCAGAUAGAUUUUCCGCCGGAGAUGAAGAGAGGGCGAAGCGAAGCGUCAGAAAAAUGAAUUCUCUCGAAAUUUGGGGCUAACCGGAGGCCGACGCCGCCGCAUGCAACCGCGACAAACCUUGCACCAGUCUCUUCGUCCGCCGCCACGAGCGCUUUCCCAUGGUCCUCUUCUACGAUUCAGCCGUGAAGUCGUGCGAAAUUGUGAGAGUAGAUAGAGAUUGAAGCAACAAAUGGGGGUGAAUGAGGCGUGUAAUUCGGAAGGACGAAAAUUUGGGGAAUGUAAAAUUCCCAUUUACCCCUCUUUCGUUGUAAAUCAGCGGGUCAACCAUUUUCAACGCGUUUUUGUAUUUUUUUUUAUUAUUCGAGUUUUUUUUUCAUCCGUUGGAUUGUGUUGAUCCAACGCUUAGAGAUUAUUCUCUAUUCUCUAUUAGAGUAGUAUUCUCCAUGGAUCUCACCCCUAUAUA